GACAGCUUGGCCGAGUGGUUGAGGCGAUAGACUCGAAAUCUAUUGGGGUAACCCGCGUGAGUUCAAGUCUCACAGCUGUCG
This 81-nucleotide transfer RNA is filed under the name Phytophthora nicotianae (black shank of tobacco agent). RNAcentral's name for it is "Phytophthora parasitica tRNA-Ser". It matches the Rfam family "tRNA". From Rfam's summary of the family: Transfer RNA (tRNA) molecules are approximately 80 nucleotides in length. Their secondary structure includes four short double-helical elements and three loops (D, anti-codon, and T loops). The record is from RNAcentral. Lineage: Eukaryota; Oomycota; Peronosporomycetes; Peronosporales; Peronosporaceae.